CAUCCUCUCAAUGAUUUUUAGCAUUGCUGCCUUUCCAAAAAGAGGACUUCAGCCUUGUUACUGCAUUUGUGCAAGCAGGCUGUGAAGGGAGGGGAAGUGGGAAGUCCUGCUGACUGAUCUCACACCUGGUGUGUUUGUGUAGCGUCACAGCCGCUCUAGGAAGGACUUGUAUCCUGCCAGUUACGGCCUGGCAGUGUAGCUCCAUGAGACGGUGCGGGAGAUAUGCUCAGCUUCUGCAGAUUUGAGCAAUGCCAGCUUAAACUGAAAAUGAGUAAAGGGAGUAAGAAGAAUAGCCCGUUCUUCUAGUGAAAAUAUUAACAGUACAUCUGGAAGAAGAAAGGCAUCUUAGUCCUCAUAAGGCAAGUGAACAUUUGGAAAGGUAAGGUACAAAACCUGGGAUGGGAAAAUGCUGAAUAUUGACAAUCUAUCUUAAAGACCAGAGUAGAUGUUGCCAUAACUAUAAAAUUUC
RNAcentral lists this long non-coding RNA (469 nucleotides) under Dromaius novaehollandiae (emu). RNAcentral describes it as "lncRNA (ENSDNVG00000007765.1)". Lineage: Eukaryota; Metazoa; Chordata; Aves; Casuariiformes; Dromaiidae. The record is from RNAcentral.